Molecule: small nuclear RNA, 24 nt
Filed under: Arabidopsis thaliana (thale cress)
Lineage: Eukaryota; Viridiplantae; Streptophyta; Magnoliopsida; Brassicales; Brassicaceae
Description: snRNA_18309
Source: RNAcentral
CCAAACGAAGUUAGGGAAAACUAA